GAUGAACGCUGGCGGCGUGGAUAAGGCAUGCAAGUCGAACGGUAAGGCCCUUCGGGGUACACGAGUGGCGAACGGGUGAGUAACACGUGGGUGAUCUGCCCUGCACUUCGGGAUAAGCCUGGGAAACUGGGUCUAAUACCGGAUAGGACCACUGCCUGCAUGGGUGGUGGUGGAAAGCUUUUGCGGUGUGGGAUGGGCCCGCGGCCUAUCAGCUUGUUGGUGGGGUGAUGGCCUACCAAGGGCACGGCGGGUAGCCGGCCUGGGAGGGUGACCGGCCACACUGGGACUGGGAUACGGCCCAGACCCCUACGGGAGGCAGCAGUGGGGAAUAUUGCACAAUGGGCGCAAGCCUGAUGCAGCGACGCCGUGUGAGGGAUGACGGCCUUCGGGUUGUAAACCUCUUUCAGCACCGACGAAGCGCAAGUGACGGUAGGUGCAGAAGAAGGACCGGCCAACUACGUGCCAGCCGCCGCGGUAA
RNAcentral lists this ribosomal RNA (478 nucleotides) under uncultured bacterium. Its description in RNAcentral is "partial 16S ribosomal RNA". It matches the Rfam family "Bacterial small subunit ribosomal RNA", at positions 28 to 523 of the family's 1533-position model. The record is from RNAcentral.